GACGAACGCUGGCGGCGUGCUUAACACAUGCAAGUCGAGCGGUAAGGCCCUUCGGGGUACACGAGCGGCGAACGGGUGAGUAACACGUGAGCAAUCUGCCCUCCACAUCGGGAUACCUCCCGGAAACGGGAGCUAAUACCGGAUACGACCACUUCAGGCAUCUGAUGGUGGUGGAAAGUUCCGGCGGUGGAGGAUGAGCUCGCGGCCUAUCAGCUUGUUGGUGGGGUAAUGGCUUAUUAAGGCUUCGACGGGUAGCCGGCCUGAGAGGGUGACCGGCCACACUGGGACUGAGACACGGUCCAGACUUUUACGGGAGGCAGCAGUGGGGAAUAUUGGACAAUGGGCGAAAGUCUGAUCCAGCAACGCUGUGUGAGGGAUGACGGCCUUCGGGUUGUAAACCUCUUUCAGCGCAGACGAAGCGAAAGUGACGGUAUGCGCAGAAGAAGCAUCGGCCAACUACGUGCCAGCCGCCGCCGUAACAC
RNAcentral lists this ribosomal RNA (482 nucleotides) under uncultured bacterium. RNAcentral's name for it is "bacterial SSU rRNA". It matches the Rfam family "Bacterial small subunit ribosomal RNA", at positions 28 to 526 of the family's 1533-position model. The record is from RNAcentral.